Molecule: non-coding RNA, 48 nt
Organism: Schistosoma haematobium
Lineage: Eukaryota; Metazoa; Platyhelminthes; Trematoda; Strigeidida; Schistosomatidae
Source: Rfam
AUUCAGCUGACGUGUCCCAAAUAGGACGAAACGCGCUUUAAACUGGGU